Molecule: transfer RNA, 73 nt
Filed under: Ixodes scapularis (black-legged tick)
Lineage: Eukaryota; Metazoa; Arthropoda; Arachnida; Ixodida; Ixodidae
Description: tRNA-Thr
Rfam family: tRNA
About the family: Transfer RNA (tRNA) molecules are approximately 80 nucleotides in length.
Source: RNAcentral
GCCUGGUUAGCUCAGUUGGUAGAGCGCUCCACCUGUAAUGGAGAGGUCCCGGGUUCGAUACCCGGACCAGGCG